UAGGGAAUCUUCCGCAAUGGACGAAAGUCUGACGGAGCAACGCCGCGUGAGUGAAGAAGGAUUUCGGUUCGUAAAACUCUGUUGUUAGGGAAGAAAAAAUGUAUAGUAACUAUAUACAAAAGAGACGGUACCUAACCAGAAAGCCACGGCUAACUACGUGCCUGCAGCCGCGGUAAUACGUAGGUGGCAAGCGUUGUCCGGAAUUAUUGGGCGUAAAGCGCGCGCAGGUGGUUUAGAAAGUCUGAUGUGAAAGCCCACGGCUCAACCGUGGAGGGUCAUUGGAAACUAAUAAACUUGAGUGCAGGAGAGAAAAGUGGAAUUCCUAGUGUAGCGGUGAAAUGCGUAGAGAUUAGGAGGAACACCGGUGGCGAAAGCGGCUUUUUGGCCUGCAACUGACACUGAGGCGCGAAAGCGUGGGGAGCAAACAGG
RNAcentral lists this ribosomal RNA (429 nucleotides) under Verrucomicrobiota bacterium. Its description in RNAcentral is "Verrucomicrobia bacterium partial 16S ribosomal RNA". It matches the Rfam family "Bacterial small subunit ribosomal RNA", at positions 355 to 776 of the family's 1533-position model. Lineage: Bacteria; Pseudomonadati; Verrucomicrobiota. The record is from RNAcentral.